AGGCUGGCGGUUUGCUUAACUCAUGCAAGUAGCACGAGUUUGGCUGUAUUCGUUUGGCCGACUAUUGUAGGGCACGGGUGAGAAACGCGUAGGCAACCUACCCUUGUAUUAAGGAUAACCCCGCGAAAGCGGGGCUAAUACCGGAUACGAUCCCACGAUGGUGGUUGUGGGAUGAAAGUCACCCACUCGGAGAAGCUGACCUACGAGGAUGGCCCUGCGUCCUAUCAGCAAGUUGGUGGGGUAGCGGCCAUCCAAGGCGAGGACGGGUAGGUGGUCUGAGACGAUGAUCAGCCACACUGGGGCUGGAACACGGGCCAGACACCUACGUGAGGCAGCAGUGAGGAAUUUUCGGCAAUGGCCGCAAGGCUGACGCAGCAACGGCGCGUGGGUCAUGAAGGCCUUCGGGUCGUUUAGCCCUGUCAGGUGGGAAGAAAGGCUUGAUUGGGAAUAUCGGUUGAGUUUGACGGUACGUCCAGAGGAAGCACGGGCUUACUCCGUGCCA
This 502-nucleotide ribosomal RNA is filed under the name uncultured Syntrophobacter sp. Its description in RNAcentral is "bacterial SSU rRNA". It matches the Rfam family "Bacterial small subunit ribosomal RNA", at positions 35 to 510 of the family's 1533-position model. Lineage: Bacteria; Pseudomonadati; Thermodesulfobacteriota; Syntrophobacteria; Syntrophobacterales; Syntrophobacteraceae. The record is from RNAcentral.